This 253-nucleotide ribosomal RNA is filed under the name uncultured bacterium. Its description in RNAcentral is "partial 16S ribosomal RNA". It matches the Rfam family "Bacterial small subunit ribosomal RNA", at positions 524 to 776 of the family's 1533-position model. The record is from RNAcentral.
UACGUAGGGGGCAAGCGUUGUCCGGAUUUAUUGGGCGUAAAGAGCUCGUAGGCGGUUUGGUAAGUCUGUCGUGAAAGCCCCGGGCUCAACCUGGGAAUGGCGAUGGAUACUGGCUCGCUAGAGUGCGGUAGAGGAGAGUGGAAUUCCCGGUGUAGCAGUGAAAUGCGUAGAGAUCGGGAGGAACAUCAGUUGCGAAGGCGGCUCUCUGGACCAGCACUGACACUGAGGCACGAAAGCGUGGGGAGCAAACAGG